AAGCGGAGGAAAAGAAACCAACAGGGAUUGCCCUAGUAACGGCGAGUGAAGCGGCAACAGCUCAAAUUUGAAAUCUGGCCUUCGGGUCCGAGUUGUAAUUUGUAGAGGAUGCUUUUGGCGCGGUGCCUUCCGAGUUCCCUGGAACGGGACGCCUUAGAGGGUGAGAGCCCCGUACGGUUGGACACCAAGCCUCUGUAAAGCUCCUUCGACGAGUCGAGUAGUUUGGGAAUGCUGCUCUAAAUGGGAGGUAAAUUUCUUCUAAAGCUAAAUAUUGGCCAGAGACCGAUAGCGCACAAGUAGAGUGAUCGAAAGAUGAAAAGCACUUUGAAAAGAGGGUUAAAUAGCACGUGAAAUUGUUGAAAGGGAAGCGUUUGCGACCAGACCUUUUCCUAGCGGAUCAUCCGGUGUUCUUCACCGGUGCACUUUGCUAGGUCGAGGCCAGCAUCGGUUUCUGUAGGGGGAUAAAAGCCUAGGGAACGUAGCUCUUUCGAGAGUGUUAUAGCCCUUGGCAUAAUACCCUUGCGGGGACCGAGGACCGCGCUUCGGCAAGGAUGCUGGCAUAAUGGUCGUCAACGACCCGUCUUGAA
RNAcentral lists this ribosomal RNA (587 nucleotides) under Anthostomella sp. CBMAI1350. Its description in RNAcentral is "eukaryotic LSU rRNA". It matches the Rfam family "Eukaryotic large subunit ribosomal RNA", at positions 48 to 658 of the family's 3401-position model. Lineage: Eukaryota; Fungi; Ascomycota; Sordariomycetes; Xylariales; Xylariaceae. The record is from RNAcentral.